RNAcentral lists this ribosomal RNA (274 nucleotides) under uncultured bacterium. RNAcentral's name for it is "partial 16S ribosomal RNA". It matches the Rfam family "Bacterial small subunit ribosomal RNA", at positions 523 to 796 of the family's 1533-position model. The record is from RNAcentral.
AUACGGAGGGUGCAAGCGUUACUCGGAAUCACUGGGCGUAAAGGACGCGUAGGCGGGAUGCCAAGUCUGAUGUGAAAUCCUACAGCUCAACUGUAGAACUGCAUUGGAAACUGGUAACCUAGAGUAUGGGAGGGGAAGAUGGAAUUAGUGGUGUAGGGGUAAAAUCCGUAGAUAUCACUAGGAAUACCUAAAGCGAAGGCGAUCUCCUGGAACAAUACUGACGCUAAGGCGUGAAAGCGUGGGGAGCAAACGGGAUUAGAUACCCCAGUAGUCC